GGGGCAGACUUGGUUUCGACAGAUUAUGGUGACAUAUGACCACAAGUAGUAGGGAUACUUUAAAUCUAUUUUUAAAUAUAAACGCAGAACAAAAUUGGGCGUUCGCUCCUUCUUUUGCCUAAUAUAAGGCUUGGAGCUCUUCUUUAAUUCCUAUACCUUUGGGGAAUUACUGAGGAUCAUUCACAAGGGUUAUAUUAUUUAAUUGUUUAGAGUUAAAUAAUGAAUAUUUAUCUAAACUAGCUUAUUAAUAGGUGCACUAGAUCCGGUUAAUAAGUAAGAUUAAAUUCUAGUCAAACUUGUAAACGUUGUAUGAUCAUGUAGUUUGGACAGGAGUUCAAUUCUCCUCUGCUCCACCA
RNAcentral lists this transfer-messenger RNA (356 nucleotides) under bovine gut metagenome. It matches the Rfam family "transfer-messenger RNA". From Rfam's summary of the family: Bacterial tmRNA, also known as 10Sa RNA or SsrA, is named for its dual tRNA and mRNA-like properties. The record is from RNAcentral.